This 433-nucleotide ribosomal RNA is filed under the name uncultured bacterium. Its description in RNAcentral is "partial 16S ribosomal RNA". It matches the Rfam family "Bacterial small subunit ribosomal RNA", at positions 29 to 507 of the family's 1533-position model. The record is from RNAcentral.
AACGAACGCUGGCGGCAGGCCUAACACAUGCAAGUCGAGCGAGCAUUUCGGUGCUAGCGGCGGACGGGUGAGUAACGCGUGGGAACGUGCCCUUUUCUGCGGAAUAGUCCUGGGAAACUGGGGGUAAUACCGCAUACGCCCUUUUGGGGAAAGAUUUAUCGGAGAAGGAUCGGCCCGCGUUGGAUUAGGUAGUUGGUGGGGUAAUGGCCCACCACGCCGACGAUCCAUAGCUGGUUUGAGAGGAUGAUCAGCCACACUGGGACUGAGACACGGCCCAGACUCCUACGGGAGGCAGCAGUGGGGAAUCUUAGACAAUGGGGGCAACCCUGAUCUAGCCAUGCCGGGUGAGUGAUGAAGGCCUUAGGGUUGUAAAGCUCUUUCAGCUGGGAAGAUAAUGACGGUACCAGCAGAAGAAGCCCCGGCUAACUCCGUG